CUCACGUGACGUCGACGCCGCGCGCCGGGCGACCCCGGGCUUAGCCUCCUGACAGGCGGGGGCCGCGGGCCGAGAGAAAUCACAAGUAGAUGGAGAGGCAGGCAGAGAGAGAGAGAGAGGGAAGCAGGCUCCCUGCUGAGCAGAGAGCCCGAUGCGGGACUCGAUGCCAGGACCCCGAGAUCAUGACCUGAGCCGAAGGCAGCGGCUUAACCCACUGAGCCACCCAGGCGCCCCGAGGGGUGACCAACUUUUAAAACAUGGCCCAGACACAUGUUUACCAGAGGUUACUUCAGUGCUUCACAAACCAGGAAACAAACUCAGCAAUGAGGAGGACUUAUUUUCAGCCCACUCAAAAGUUAAUCAGUGAGCCAGAUGAGAAAGCAGAUUUCCCAGUUGUGCAAUAGAGAGAGAGAAACAGCACAAGCAGGUGGAGGGGCAGAGGGAGAGGGAGAAGCAGACUCUCCGCUGAGCAGGAAGCCCAACGAGGGGCUCCAUCCCAGGACCCUGAGAUCAUGACCCGAGCUGAAGGCAGACGCUUCGCCGACUGAGCCACCCAGGUGCCCCCACUUAGCUUUGCUUAACGAGUUCACCAUGUGGUCUAAUUUAAUCUAGUUCCACAGGAUUCUAUAGUGGGAUUUGAAGCUUUUGUGAAAUUAAAUGUGCUGUUUAGCGCACCAUUGUUAACAUUCCCUAUUCAUGCUUCUUUGUGAAAAAUAAAUGUACAGUUUCUGUAAGAAAAUGUUCACGUUUUAAAAAACAAACCACCCUUUUCUCUAUGAAUCUCUUUGCGGUAUGUGCUGGGUAUUGCCAGUCACAAUUUGACUAUCAGUCAAAUUAUAAUUCCUAAAGAAUACUGUCUCACUGAGACUAUGGACUCUGAAAAACAAUCUGAGGGGUUUGAAG
Long non-coding RNA from Mustela lutreola (European mink), 903 nucleotides. RefSeq lists it as uncharacterized. Lineage: Eukaryota; Metazoa; Chordata; Mammalia; Carnivora; Mustelidae. The transcript has 4 exons. The record is from RefSeq and is a predicted model, not a curated record.